GGGAGAGUUUCUUGGAUGUGGCUUCUCAGACAGAAACAUGGUCCAUGAGAAUUUUAGUUGACACGUGUCAAAAGAAGGAUGGUUCUUUAGUUUGCUUAACUGACAAAUUAUAUCAAGACAGGACAAUCAAAGAACACCAAGAAUUAGGUAUUCUAUUUCCAUAGGAUUUUGUUUCUUUUAAUUGUCUUUUCUUUUUUUUGCACAAUUAACAAAAUAAAUCAAACUCUCCAGUGGUCGUUAAUGGCAAAGAAAAAAAGGACAGUGUGAUAUAGCGGUUGGCAUGUUAGAUGGAAUCUUUGUAUGAGGUCCAAUACAACAUGUUUUGCCAAGAGAAAUCCAACAAUCUAAAAUUUAAUGGGGAUGGCUUUCAGGCUUGAAAUUUGUCUGUUCAGAGCUUUGCUUUUUCCUACGUGUUUGUGAGGAAACUUGUACUGCUUGUUUAGUUACGUCUAUCAGCCAUGCCUGCUGGGAUAUCUUAGAACUGCCUCUUUCCAGAAAAGUUUCAUUUUACCCUUUUUCAUGUAUAGCUUUUUUAAUUUCCUUCUUCACUGCAAUUUUGAUUCUAGGCACUUAUUUGGUGGUCGAAUGGAAAACUCUUGUUUCAGUUGAAUAUAUGCGAGUUGAGUUCAGCAACUUGCUGCUCUUGGCCUUUGAUGAAUGCUUCAGUCGUAGCAUUAAUGGAAUUGGUACCAGAAAGACUAUAAUUUUGGGCCAAGCUUUUAAUUGUUUCCAGCAUGCAGAAGUGUAGUUUUCAUUAAUAGUUUCAGCUACUAUUUGCAAUAGACAAGUUAUAUGGAUGUUUGAUUACUUAUCAGGAAACCAAAAAUGUGGGCUCCCUCCUAUUCUUAGUAUAGGAUAACUACCCUUUCAGUACUUGGGGAUAUGGCAUUGUGCUUUCCCAUAUGGAAGUCACUUGCCCCACCAAAUUUCCACCUUUGCAUCAAAAAGCAAAACAAGGGUCUAGCAGUUAGAUUUUUGUCAUUUCGCCAUUUUCCCAGUGGGAUGCUCUGCUCACUAAUAGUUGAUGGUUAUCCCCCAGGAUCCCCACGAUUCCUUAUCUUUUGUGCAGCGCACAUAACUCAAUAUGUAUUGGAUGAAUUGGCAAAAUCCUGUCCUCAAGAGCUACUUUUAUAGCUCAAAUCCUCAUUUAAAGAAGCAU
This 1159-nucleotide long non-coding RNA is filed under the name Durio zibethinus. RNAcentral describes it as "long non-coding RNA (DZIB_LNC000533)". The record is from RNAcentral. Lineage: Eukaryota; Viridiplantae; Streptophyta; Magnoliopsida; Malvales; Malvaceae.